ACUAUUUUUAUGUUUAAGUCAUCCUGUGCCCAUUAUAGGUGCAGAUGUGUGUAAUGUAAUUGUGUAGUGUUAAAUGUUUUGUGUGCUGUCCUGUGCUGCUGAUGCUUGCCGCGAACUAGGUGGAUUUGGCUAUGGAGCCUAUACAGCGCCAUCUGUUGGUAGCAGCUCUUAUGUGCACUACCUGAAUAGCAAGACUCUGCAAUUUGCAUAUUUAGGCAGAUUUGCAUAUUAUGGUUUCUGCAGACAGAAAAGAUGUUUUGUGUUAUUUUCGUCUCCACCCCUUUAUUAUUUAUUAUGUUAUUGUGCCAUUAUGAGUCCCUGUAUAUUUCCCCAUAUGAUUUGGAUAUUUGUAUUAAACUGAGUUUGUCACAAUAAGUUUGAAGUAAUGAACAUAUGGACAAGUCCUGUGUUAAAAUAAAGCAGUGUAUGUUAGUUUUGGGACUGUGUGUCUUGGUUGAUUUGUUCAGAGAUCCCAGUAACAGAGUCUUUUGACCUGUUGGCUAUAUCCCGGGACAAGUAAAAAGAGCUUGACCUGAGACCCACAAGUGCCUUUGUAAAGGCAGUAGCUGAACACAUUGAAG
Non-coding RNA from Pelobates cultripes (western spadefoot toad), 581 nucleotides. The record is from the annotation of a GenBank genome assembly. Lineage: Eukaryota; Metazoa; Chordata; Amphibia; Anura; Pelobatidae.